GGGUUGUGAGGUUAAGCGACUAAGCGUACACGGUGGAUGCCCUGGCAGUCAGAGGCGAUGAAGGACGUGCUAAUCUGCGAAAAGCGUCGGUAAGGUGAUAUGAACCGUUAUAACCGGCGAUGUCCGAAUGGGGAAACCCAGUGUGAUUCGUCACACUAUCGUUAACUGAAUACAUAGGUUAACGAGGCGAACCGGGGGAACUGAAACAUCUAAGUACCCCGAGGAAAAGAAAUCAACCGAGAUUCCCCCAGUAGCGGCGAGCGAACGGGGAGCAGCCCAGAGUCUGAAUCAGCUUGUGUGUUAGUGGAACGGUCUGGAAAGUCCGACGGUACAGGGUGAUAGUCCCGUACACCAAAAUGCACAGGCUGUGAACUCGAAGAGUAGGGCGGGACACGUGGUAUCCUGUCUGAAUAUGGGGGGACCAUCCUCCAAGGCUAAAUACUCCUGACUGACCGAUAGU
This 460-nucleotide ribosomal RNA is filed under the name Acinetobacter baumannii. RNAcentral's name for it is "partial 23S ribosomal RNA". It matches the Rfam family "Bacterial large subunit ribosomal RNA", at positions 1 to 491 of the family's 2925-position model. The record is from RNAcentral. Lineage: Bacteria; Pseudomonadati; Pseudomonadota; Gammaproteobacteria; Moraxellales; Moraxellaceae.